RNAcentral lists this ribosomal RNA (253 nucleotides) under uncultured bacterium. Its description in RNAcentral is "partial 16S ribosomal RNA". It matches the Rfam family "Bacterial small subunit ribosomal RNA", at positions 524 to 776 of the family's 1533-position model. The record is from RNAcentral.
UACGUAGGGACCAAGCGUUGUUCGGAUUUACUGGGCGUAAAGGGCGCGUAGGCGGCCCGCUAAGUCGAACGUGAAAUCCCCAGGCUCAACCUGGGAACUGCGUCCGAUACUGGCAGGCUUGAAUCCGGGAGAGGGAUGUGGAAUUCCAGGUGUAGCGGUGAAAUGCGUAGAUAUCUGGAGGAACACCGGUGGCGAAGGCGGCAUCCUGGACCGGUAUUGACGCUGAGGCGCGAAAGCUAGGGGAGCAAACGGG